CCCAAAUUACCUCCUCAGUCUUGGAAAAGAUUCAUUCACAGUGAACACUUGUCGCUGGCAUACACAGGUGUUUUUACCAUUAUAUAAAUGUGUGGAUAUACAGCACAUCACUCCUGUCAGUAAACCAGAGGAUCUCUCUCUACAUACACUUUCUAUAUAUUAAUGUCACUGUAUCUAUAACUACUGCUCACUGGAUGUCUCUCACUAGCCUAUCAGUCAAUAUGUCCUCUCAAUAACCUUCUAUCUAGACAACACUGAAUCUCUCUGUCUCUCAAAUUCUCUGUUCUCACAAAACCCCUCAAAGUUGGGGUGUGUUUUCUUGACUUAUAAGCAUUCAUAGAGUGUGUGACUGAGACAGAUCUGUGAUCAGGGUUGUUUCAGACACUGUCAGUCAAAGCCAGGAGCAGCAGGUACUGUAUAACACCUGUAGAAACACAAGCUUAGUUCACCUGUGGUCACGUGACAUGGCCGUUUUGAGCCACGCUUCGGAUCAGCGUUUCAAAACGCUGCGCUUCAGAAACUCGAAACAAGCGUAGAAACGUCCGUGUCGACCGUCCCAUCCUAACUACAGAGAAGGGAGAGACUACAGGAACUCCAGCGGCCAAUGGAGUCACAGUCCCUCCUACACGGACUUGUUUUGCGGCUGCGCUGAGAGUAAAUCUCCACUAUGUCGGUACGAUGAAACACUUCGGAACUUCACAUACCGCUUUGUAGAUCUAACUUACAGAUGAUUGUAAUUUAGACAUAUAAU
Non-coding RNA from Electrophorus electricus (electric eel), 751 nucleotides. NCBI's taxonomy places the organism in Eukaryota, Metazoa, Chordata, Actinopteri, Gymnotiformes, Gymnotidae. The record is from RefSeq and is a predicted model, not a curated record.